CGAUGGCGACCGGCGCACGGGUGAGUAACGCGUAUGCAACCUGCCCGAUACCGGGGUAUAGCCCAUGGAAACGUGGAUUAACACCCCAUAGUACUUUUAUCCUGCCUGGGAUGGGAGUUAAAUGUUCAAGGUAUCGGAUGGGCAUGCGUCCUAUUAGUUAGUUGGCGGGGUGACAGCCCACCAAGACGAUGAUAGGUAGGGGUUCUGAGAGGAAGGUCCCCCACAUUGGAACUGAGACACGGUCCAA
RNAcentral lists this ribosomal RNA (247 nucleotides) under uncultured bacterium. Its description in RNAcentral is "partial 16S ribosomal RNA". It matches the Rfam family "Bacterial small subunit ribosomal RNA", at positions 86 to 334 of the family's 1533-position model. The record is from RNAcentral.